RNAcentral lists this ribosomal RNA (253 nucleotides) under uncultured bacterium. Its description in RNAcentral is "partial 16S ribosomal RNA". It matches the Rfam family "Bacterial small subunit ribosomal RNA", at positions 524 to 776 of the family's 1533-position model. The record is from RNAcentral.
UACGGGGGGGGCAAGCGUUGUUCGGAAUUACUGGGCGUAAAGGGCUCGUAGGCGGCCAACUAAGUCGGACGUGAAAUCCCCAGGCUCAACCUGGGAACUGCGUCCGAUACUGGAUGGCUUGAAUUCGGGAGAGGGAUGCAGAAUUCCAGGUGUAGCGGUGAAAUGCGUAGAUAUCUGGAGGAAUACCGGUGGCGAAGGCGGAUCUCUGGGCCGUAACUGACGCUGAGGAGCGAAAGCAUGGGGAGCGAACAGG